Molecule: ribosomal RNA, 508 nt
Filed under: uncultured glomeraceous AM fungus
Lineage: Eukaryota; Fungi; Glomeromycota; Glomeromycetes; Glomerales; Glomeraceae
Description: SSU rRNA
Rfam family: Eukaryotic small subunit ribosomal RNA
Source: RNAcentral
AGCAGCCGCGGUAAUUCCAGCUCCAAUAGCGUAUAUUAAAGUUGUUGCAGUUAAAAAGCUCGUAGUUGAAUUUCGGGGUUAGUAGAUUGGUCAUGCCUCUGGUAUGUACUGGUCUCACUGAUUCCUCCUUCCUGAUGAUCCGUAAUGCCAUUAAUUUGGUGUUGCGGGGAAUUUGGACUGUUACUUUGAAAAAAUUAGAGUGUUUAAAGCAAGCUAACGCUUGAAUACAUUAGCAUGGAAUAAUGAAAUAGGACGUUCGAUCCUAUUUUGUUGGUUUCUAGGAUUGACGUAAUGAUUAAUAGGGAUAGUUGGGGGCAUUAGUAUUCAAUUGUCAGAGGUGAAAUUCUUGGAUUUAUUGAAGACUAACUACUGCGAAAGCAUUUGCCAAGGAUGUUUUCAUUAAUCAAGGACGAAAGUUAGGGGAUCGAAGACGAUCAGAUACCGUCGUAGUCUUAACCAUAAACUAUGCCGACUAGGGAUCGGAUGAUGUUAAUUUUUUAAUGACUCA